This 3016-nucleotide long non-coding RNA is filed under the name Homo sapiens (human). RNAcentral's name for it is "HSALNT0080252". Lineage: Eukaryota; Metazoa; Chordata; Mammalia; Primates; Hominidae. The record is from RNAcentral.
UUUUGCUUAGGCCUUUCCUGGACCUUAAAGCAUGACAAAAAUAACAAAGGAAUUCUUAACAGGAUCCUUUUAGGAUUAAACAAGUUUUCUUGGGAGUCUGAAGAAACUCUCCAGGCCUCCACAAACAAGUUUAUUGGAGGUCUGAAGGAAUUCCCCAAACCCCCAUGAUGUAGCAGGAGACAAGAUGAGGGUAAUCACCGCAACACCUAGACUCAUUUAGAUCAAGUAAACUUACUGAGGCUCCAGAAGAAGGUCUUCAGGACUCCGACCUUAGUUAUAGAUUAAAAGAAGUUACUCACUUGUGUCUUUAGACGAAUGCACACUUACACAUAGACAUAUAGCUUAGAAGGUAUAUAAGCCCUGAAACACUUUCUAAUUUUGAGUUGGUCUGGCGAUAAUUUCCAGACCUUCUCCCUGUAACGGGUGACAGAAAUAAAAACUCUCUUUCUGCCCGGUUCAUCUGCAUCUCGUUACUAGGCCGCGAGAAAUAGCAGCCUGACUUUCGCUUGGUCCUGGAACAAAGUUUGGUACACCAGCCAGGAGGUAAGGAUGGUGCUGUUUUCAGCCGCUGGCAGCCUGUGAGGAGACAGUCUUCAGCAGGAUCUCCCAGCUGCCAGGUGAGGUUUCCCCACGGGACCCUCCAGAGGGCUGUUCCCUGGACAAAUCUGCAUGUCCCUUUCACUGCUGGGGAAGAAUGGAGAUCGGGAGCGGAUGCGCUCAAAGGGUGCAAUAUAGGUGGUGAUAACUGUGGUGGUGAUAACUGUGAAGGUAGAGAGCAUUCCUAUCUCUUCCUGAGACUCCAAAAAGGUCACGCUGAUGGAAGAGAUAGACUCCCAUGGCCUUGAGAAGCUCCACCCCUGUGGCUUUGCAGGGUAUCACUCCCCUCCUGGCUGCUUUCAUGGGCUAGUGUUGAGUGUCUGUGGCUUUUCCAGGCAGAUGGUUCAAGCUGUCAAUGGAUCUACCAUUCUGGAGUCUAGAGGCACUUGGAUUGUUUCCAUAUCUUUACUAUUGUGACCAAAGCUGCAAUGAACAUCGCAGUGCAGAUAUCUCUUCAAGGAAAACCAAUCAUUAACAGCUUUCAUUUCAGAAAGCCAAGCAAUUUAUAUGGACUCACUCCCAUAAACACAAUUCUGAGUGUCAACCAAUUGAGAACAAUUUUGUUGGAGUAAUCACAUUUUGGCAGCGAAUGUCAACCUACUUAAACUUCUGAAAGGUCACCAAUCCCUGACUUUUAAGCUUCCAAAAAUUCUGGUAUAAAUCCAGCAGCUUGCUCUUUUUAGAGAGGCUAUACCUGACCAGCAUAUCUCUAUUCACUAUAGUAAGCAAUAAGCACAACAUGUUUUUUCUUUCAAAUAUUGAGUGGUGAUUUCUUCAUAAUUUGACAGUAUCAUUUAUCCCAUGGAAGAACAAGUAGUUAUAUAUCUUAUUCUGGAAUUCCUUUUGAGCAUUAGAGCAAUCUUCCCCAAAAACUGCGAACUUAAAAAAAAUAAUAAUAUUCUCUAUUCAACAGUAGGUGGAAAAUCAAACUCAGAAACAUUUUAGCAGAAUUUAUUUUGCUGGGUUUUUUUCCUCCUAAACUUAGCAUUGUUAUCUGGAUACAAUCAAGAUACUUUAUUUCACAGCCAACGUCAUGUAACAACUUUUUGUAACAUUACUCAGCUCGUAGCUUUUCUCUUUCGGAAAAAGUGUUUGGAAAGCAGAAUUAAAAACGAACUUGAGGGCCAGGCGCAGUGGCUCACGCCUGUAAUCCCAACAUUUUGGGAGUCUGAGGCGGGUGGAUCACGAGGUCAGGAGACCGAGACCAUCCUGGCUAAUACAGUGAGACCCCGUCUCUACUAAAAAUACAAAAAAUUAGCCAUGCAUGGUGGCACGUGCCAAGUCCCAGCUACCGGGGAGGCUGAGGCAGGAGAAUCGCUUGAACCUGGGAGGCAGAGGUUGCAGUGAGCCGAGAUUGUGCCACUGCACUCCAGCCUGAGCAACAGAGUGAGACUCCAUCUCAAAAAAUAAAAAAAUAAAAUAAAAAUUAAAAGUCAACAUUUAAAAGACUUGGAUUUUUCUUAGUUUUUUUUUUUUUUUUUUUUUUUUUGGCUUAAUAUAAGUCUUCCUCUCUCUCUCUCUUUUUCUUUCUUUUUUUUUGAGAGGCAGCCUUGGUCUGUCGCCCAGGCUGGAGUGCAGUGGCACCAUCUCGGCUCACUGCAACCUCUGCCUUCUGGGUUUCAGAGAUUCUAGGGCCUCAACCUCCCAAGUAGCUGGGAUUACAAGUGUGCGCCACCAUGCCCAACUAAUUUUUGUAUUUUUAGUAGAGAUGGGUUUCACCAUGUUGGCCAGCCUGGUCUCAAACUCCCAACUUCAAGAGAUCUGCCGGCCUUGGCCUCCGAAAGUGCUAGGAUUACAAGCGUAAGCCACCAGGCCCAGCCUACAUUUUCUUUUAUCUGUGUGUAAAUAUGUUGAUGGUAUAGUGUGCAUAAGGGAAAAUAAGCUUAUUAAAAACUCAAGCUUCAGGGAUAACUGGCUAGGCCUUACUUUUAAAGAAAUAGUUGCACCUUUAACAUUUUCUGCUAUGAUAGAAAAAUAUUAUCCAAUUAAAAUGUAAGCAACCUAAACAUCAUUGAUUACUCUAAAAGAAUUAUAGAAUAGUAAUAUCUUGCCAAUAUCGAUAUUUGUGGUGCUACUCUGUUCUCAUUGCAUUAGCUAUUAGACAAUGUCUUAUAGAGUUCAUGGCCAUUUUCUGCUUAUGAAUGAGAAUAAAUACUUGUGAAAACAUAACGUGUAAGACAUCAGGUAUACAUAUAUUAAAAUAUGUCAGUUGGCGAAAAGUAAUAAUUGUCUUACCAAGGAAAAUUGCCUUUAGAUUUGACUGUGUUCAGCUCUGGUACAAAACAUAACAAACAUUAUGUUUCUACCUUAAUUAAAAAGUAAAUGUGGUUAUUUUAAAAACUGUUUAAAAUUAAAGCCUAUUUUAUAAGAUGUUAUAUGAGACACUGCAUUAUUCCUUAUCAAAUUUAUAAGGCUGUAU